Molecule: ribosomal RNA, 1807 nt
Filed under: Escherichia coli
Lineage: Bacteria; Pseudomonadati; Pseudomonadota; Gammaproteobacteria; Enterobacterales; Enterobacteriaceae
Description: partial 23S ribosomal RNA
Rfam family: Bacterial large subunit ribosomal RNA
Source: RNAcentral
CGGGACACGUGGUAUCCUGUCUGAAUAUGGGGGGACCAUCCUCCAAGGCUAAAUACUCCUGACUGACCGAUAGUGAACCAGUACCGUGAGGGAAAGGCGAAAAGAACCCCGGCGAGGGGAGUGAAAAAGAACCUGAAACCGUGUACGUACAAGCAGUGGGAGCACGCUUCGGCGUGUGACUGCGUACCUUUUGUAUAAUGGGUCAGCGACUUAUAUUCUGUAGCAAGGUUAACCGAAUAGGGGAGCCGAAGGGAAACCGAGUCUUAACUGGGCGUUAAGUUGCAGGGUAUAGACCCGAAACCCGGUGAUCUAGCCAUGGGCAGGUUGAAGGUUGGGUAACACUAACUGGAGGACCGAACCGACUAAUGUUGAAAAAUUAGCGGAUGACUUGUGGCUGGGGGUGAAAGGCCAAUCAAACCGGGAGAUAGCUGGUUCUCCCCGAAAGCUAUUUAGGUAGCGCCUCGUGAAUUCAUCUCCGGGGGUAGAGCACUGUUUCGGCAAGGGGGUCAUCCCGACUUACCAACCCGAUGCAAACUGCGAAUACCGGAGAAUGUUAUCACGGGAGACACACGGCGGGUGCUAACGUCCGUCGUGAAGAGGGAAACAACCCAGACCGCCAGCUAAGGUCCCAAAGUCAUGGUUAAGUGGGAAACGAUGUGGGAAGGCCCAGACAGCCAGGAUGUUGGCUUAGAAGCAGCCAUCAUUUAAAGAAAGCGUAAUAGCUCACUGGUCGAGUCGGCCUGCGCGGAAGAUGUAACGGGGCUAAACCAUGCACCGAAGCUGCGGCAGCGACACUAUGUGUUGUUGGGUAGGGGAGCGUUCUGUAAGCCUGUGAAGGUGUACUGUGAGGUAUGCUGGAGGUAUCAGAAGUGCGAAUGCUGACAUAAGUAACGAUAAAGCGGGUGAAAAGCCCGCUCGCCGGAAGACCAAGGGUUCCUGUCCAACGUUAAUCGGGGCAGGGUGAGUCGACCCCUAAGGCGAGGCCGAAAGGCGUAGUCGAUGGGAAACAGGUUAAUAUUCCUGUACUUGGUGUUACUGCGAAGGGGGGACGGAGAAGGCUAUGUUGGCCGGGCGACGGUUGUCCCGGUUUAAGCGUGUAGGCUGGUUUUCCAGGCAAAUCCGGAAAAUCAAGGCUGAGGCGUGAUGACGAGGCACUACGGUGCUGAAGCAACAAAUGCCCUGCUUCCAGGAAAAGCCUCUAAGCAUCAGGUAACAUCAAAUCGUACCCCAAACCGACACAGGUGGUCAGGUAGAGAAUACCAAGGCGCUUGAGAGAACUCGGGUGAAGGAACUAGGCAAAAUGGUGCCGUAACUUCGGGAGAAGGCACGCUGAUAUGUAGGUGAAGCGACUUGCUCGUGGAGCUGAAAUCAGUCGAAGAUACCAGCUGGCUGCAACUGUUUAUUAAAAACACAGCACUGUGCAAACACGAAAGUGGACGUAUACGGUGUGACGCCUGCCCGGUGCCGGAAGGUUAAUUGAUGGGGUUAGCGGUAACGCGAAGCUCUUGAUCGAAGCCCCGGUAAACGGCGGCCGUAACUAUAACGGUCCUAAGGUAGCGAAAUUCCUUGUCGGGUAAGUUCCGACCUGCACGAAUGGCGUAAUGAUGGCCAGGCUGUCUCCACCCGAGACUCAGUGAAAUUGAACUCGCUGUGAAGAUGCAGUGUACCCGCGGCAAGACGGAAAGACCCCGUGAACCUUUACUAUAGCUUGACACUGAACAUUGAGCCUUGAUGUGUAGGAUAGGUGGGAGGCUUUGAAGUGUGGACGCCAGUCUGCAUGGAGCCGACCUUGAAAUACCACCCUUUA